GACGUAGGGGGCCAGCGUUGCUCGGAAUUACUGGGUGUAAAGGGUUCGUAGGCGGUGUGGCAAGUCGGGAGUGAAAUCUCUGGGCUCAACCCAGAGUCUGCUUCCGAAACUGCUGUGCUUGAGUGACCUAGAGGUGAGCAGAACAGAUGGUGGAGCGGUGAAAUGCGUUGAUAUCAUCUGGAAUACCGGAGGCGAAGGCGGCUCACUGGGGGUCUUCUGACGCUGAGGAACGAAAGCCAGGGGAGCGAACGGG
This 253-nucleotide ribosomal RNA is filed under the name uncultured bacterium. Its description in RNAcentral is "partial 16S ribosomal RNA". It matches the Rfam family "Bacterial small subunit ribosomal RNA", at positions 524 to 776 of the family's 1533-position model. The record is from RNAcentral.